RNAcentral lists this ribosomal RNA (440 nucleotides) under uncultured bacterium. Its description in RNAcentral is "partial 16S ribosomal RNA". It matches the Rfam family "Bacterial small subunit ribosomal RNA", at positions 338 to 795 of the family's 1533-position model. The record is from RNAcentral.
CCUACGGGGGGCAGCAGUAGGGAAUAUUGCUCAAUGGGGGAAACCCUGAAGCAGCAACGCCGCGUGGAGGAUGAAGGUUUUCGGAUUGUAAACUCCUUUUGUUAGAGAAGAUAAUGACGGUAUCUAACGAAUAAGCACCGGCUAACUCCGUGCCAGCAGCCGCGGUAAUACGGAGGGUGCAAGCGUUACUCGGAAUCACUGGGCGUAAAGGGCGCGUAGGCGGGAUAGCAAGUCAGAUGUGAAAUCCUAUGGCUUAACCAUAGAACUGCAUUUGAAACUAUGAGUCUAGAGUGUGGGAGAGGUAGGUGGAAUGCUUGGUGUAGGGGUAAAAUCCGUAGAUAUCAAGAGGAAUACUCAUUGCGAAGGCGACCUACUGGAACAUUACUGACGCUCAUGCACGAAAGCGUGGGGAGCAAACAGGAUUAGAUACCCCAGUAGUC